GAACGGUAUUGAGCUUCGGCUCAGUAUAGUGGCAAACGGGUGCGUAACGCGUAAGCAACCUGCCCCUGCUUGGGGGAUAGCCCGGCGAAAGCGGGGGUAAACCCGCACGGUCCAGAUGAAUCACCUGGUUUUACUGGUAAACAUUCAUGGAGCAGGGAGGGGCUUGCGUCUGAUUAGGUAGUUGGCGGGGUAAGGGCCCACCAAGCCGAUGAUCAGUAGGGGUUCUGAGAGGAUUGGCCCCCACAUGGGUACUGAGAUACGGACCCAACUCCUACGGGAGGCAGCAGUAGGGAAUAUUGGGCAAUGGGCGAAAGCCUGACCCAGCCAUGCCGCGUGAAGGAUGACGGCGCUCAGCGUUGUAAACUUCUUUUACCGAGGAAGAACGUACUCAAUGCGUAGGGUAGUGACGGUACUCGGGGAAUCAGCACCGGCUAACUCCGUG
RNAcentral lists this ribosomal RNA (442 nucleotides) under uncultured bacterium. Its description in RNAcentral is "bacterial SSU rRNA". It matches the Rfam family "Bacterial small subunit ribosomal RNA", at positions 64 to 507 of the family's 1533-position model. The record is from RNAcentral.